This 776-nucleotide long non-coding RNA is filed under the name Ananas comosus (pineapple). RNAcentral describes it as "long non-coding RNA (ACOM_LNC002352)". Lineage: Eukaryota; Viridiplantae; Streptophyta; Magnoliopsida; Poales; Bromeliaceae. The record is from RNAcentral.
UUUAGAAAUUAAAAUUGGCAUGCAAAGAAAGUUAAUUAUACUAUAAAAAGAUUUAACUACCAAAUAUUAUAUUAUUAUUAUAUAAAUUAAUUCUUAAAAAUUAUGUGGGUCCCACAACCCUCCAAAAUAAGGAGAUGCCUUUUUUAGGGUUACUAAUUCAUAUAUAUUUUGAGGAUUAAAGUAAAAAACAUACAAAAUUUAAGGAUGAAAAUUGGCAUGUAAAAGAAAGUUAAAUAGGCGAUAGCAUGAUAAUUUUAUUAAUUCUAAAAUAUUUUUUAACGGUUGCUAUUUUAUCGCGAUAAAAUUAAGAGGUUUGAAAACUUAAUUGGAAAAAAAAAUAGGAACCAAAAUAAAAAUGGUAGAAAGUUUGGUAAGUACUAUGCAAUUAAUCCUAAAAAAAUUCUAAAAAAUUAUGGGCCCCACAUUUCUCCAAAAUAAGGGAGGGCCUUCAAUAGGUUCCCAAUUAGUAUAUUUACUAGUAUAGUAAUCCGUACGAUGCGGUGGAUAGAUAAUUAAAAAUAAAAUAGAACACAUCGAUAAAAAAGAAAAACUGUGAUGAGAAAAACGAUGAUAAGGAAUGUGACUUAUUUUGCUGAUGAACGAAGAUAACAGUUGAAGGAAAAGAAAAAUGAUGGACUUGAGUUGGUUCCGGUGGAAUCCCCACUCAACAAGAAGAAAAAAUUAUUGUGUGGCAACUUUAGAAAAAAUAAUGUAUAUAUAGGUAUAGAAGCUAUAGGUUUAUUAUAAAUAAAUAAACAAAUAAGUAAAUAAAUUGA